This 207-nucleotide ribosomal RNA is filed under the name uncultured bacterium. RNAcentral's name for it is "partial 16S ribosomal RNA". It matches the Rfam family "Bacterial small subunit ribosomal RNA", at positions 568 to 774 of the family's 1533-position model. The record is from RNAcentral.
CGUGUAGGCGGUGUGGUAAGUUGGGCGUGAAAUCCCCGGGCUUAACCCGGGGGGGCCGUUCAAGACUGCCAUGCUAGGGUGCGGGAGAGGGCAGUGGAAUUCCCGGUGUAGCGGUGAAAUGCGUAGAUAUCAGGAGGAACACCUGCGGCGAAAGCGGCUGCCUGGACCGUAACCGACGCUGAGGCGCGAAAGCUAGGGGAGCAAACA